RNAcentral lists this long non-coding RNA (536 nucleotides) under Mus spicilegus (steppe mouse). RNAcentral describes it as "lncRNA (ENSMSIG00000013193.1)". Lineage: Eukaryota; Metazoa; Chordata; Mammalia; Rodentia; Muridae. The record is from RNAcentral.
CUCAGCAGGAGAGCCGUGCAUUGCCAAAGGCAGGGAGAAUAACAAACCAGGUGCCAUCCAGAGUCUACAGGAAAGCUUCAGUCUUUCCAAGGAAAAUUAAAAAACGAAUAACCAGAUUACACAUUCUGAGUUCUGCUCCCUGUGGACUUCUGUUGAAUCCUGGAUGAGGAAAGAAGAAAUGGGUUUCCAUGGACCUAUCAAUGAUACUCAUCACAGGUUGCCCUUUUAUGGAGAUGUGGCAUAAAUUCAAGGAGAUCCACUUCAAAUCCAUUUGUUGGCUCUGCUUCAAGAGAUGAAUACAAAUUACUGUUUAUCCACCAAACACUUACAUUGCAUUCCUGCGUGCUGGGCAGCACUCUAAGUGUUUUAUAAACAUCGGUGAUUUUCAUGCUCACGACAGCUCUGUGGAUAGGCAUCUCAUUACCUCCACAUACAUUUAGACAUGGGAAAUGAAGCAGAGGGAGAAGAAACAACCAGUGCUGCACAGCUGGUGGCAACAGGAUGCGUAAGCAGGUAGCCUUGCUCUAGAGCCCUUA